UGAACGCUGGCGGCGUGCCUAAUACAUGCAAGUCGAGCGAACAGACAAGGAGCUUGCUCCUUUGACGUUAGCGGCGGACGGGUGAGUAACACGUGGGUAACCUACCUAUAAGACUGGGAUAACUUCGGGAAACCGGAGCUAAUACCGGAUAAUAUUUCGAACCGCAUGGUUCGAUAGUGAAAGAUGGUUUUGCUAUCACUUAUAGAUGGACCCGCGCCGUAUUAGCUAGUUGGUAAGGUAACGGCUUACCAAGGCGACGAUACGUAGCCGACCUGAGAGGGUGAUCGGCCACACUGGAACUGAGACACGGUCCAGACUCCUACGGGAGGCAGCAGUAGGGAAUCUUCCGCAAUGGGCGAAAGCCUGACGGAGCAACGCCGCGUGAGUGAUGAAGGUCUUCGGAUCGUAAAACUCUGUUAUUAGGGAAGAACAUACGUGUAAGUAACUAUGCACGUCUUGACGGUACCUAAUCAGAAAGCCACGGCUAACUACGUGCCAGCAGCCGCGGUAAUACGUAGGUGGCAAGCGUUAUCCGGAAUUAUUGGGCGUAAAGCGCGCGUAGGCGGUUUUUUAAGUCUGAUGUGAAAGCCCACGGCUCAACCGUGGAGGGUCAUUGGAAACUGGAAAACUUGAGUGCAGAAGAGGAAAGUGGAAUUCCAUGUGUAGCGGUGAAAUGCGCAGAGAUAUGGAGGAACACCAGUGGCGAAGGCGACUUUCUGGUCUGUAACUGACGCUGAUGUGCGAAAGCGUGGGGAUCAAACAGGAUUAGAUACCCUGGUAGUCCACGCCGUAAACGAUGAGUGCUAAGUGUUAGGGGGUUUCCGCCCCUUAGUGCUGCAGCUAACGCAUUAAGCACUCCGCCUGGGGAGUACGACCGCAAGGU
RNAcentral lists this ribosomal RNA (883 nucleotides) under Staphylococcus haemolyticus. RNAcentral's name for it is "bacterial SSU rRNA". It matches the Rfam family "Bacterial small subunit ribosomal RNA", at positions 30 to 894 of the family's 1533-position model. Lineage: Bacteria; Bacillati; Bacillota; Bacilli; Caryophanales; Staphylococcaceae. The record is from RNAcentral.